Long non-coding RNA from Coregonus clupeaformis (lake whitefish), 646 nucleotides. RefSeq lists it as uncharacterized. The transcript has 5 exons. NCBI's taxonomy places the organism in Eukaryota, Metazoa, Chordata, Actinopteri, Salmoniformes, Salmonidae. The record is from RefSeq and is a predicted model, not a curated record.
CUUACAUUCUGAGAGGAAGCUGGAUGGUUACUGUGAGGGGGGCUUGCAUUCGGAGAGGAACCUAAGAGGCAAACAUAAGCAAGCAGAAUACUUCAAAAUAAUAAGAUCCUGCCAUGGAAAAGAAGACUGGGUGGACAUCGUGGAAAGGAGGGGAAAUAACUCACACCAUGCAGCAGGACACCUUCAGCUGCGGGGUCUUAGUAAUGCAGAUGGCCAAGGAAGUUGCACAGAACUUCCCCAACAUCCCCUCCCAAAUGGAUAUAGAACCUUCACAAAAACACAUGGAGCAACUGAAAAUAAAUGGCUGAGGAUAUACUAAAAAUGUCUGAGUUCAACAAAGCCAACAACUGCUUCAUAUGUGCCACUGAUAAAGAACCUGGAUGUGGCCCAAAGACUGACUGGAUUGAAUGUUUUGCAUGCCAACGGUGGUUCCAUGUGCUACAAAAGAGUUAAACAGAGUGAAGAACACAAACUGGAAGUGCAGUCUGUUGUUGAAACUGUAUGCUAUACCCCAUCCACACUGAAGAGGCUCUGAAGUUUACGUCAACCAGGAAUAAAGAGAAAGUUAACACUGUGAAAUGUUUAGUACUUAUUUGAAGUAAAGUGUCCGUUGACAUGUUGGAAAAGAUUAAAGGUUUACAAUUUC